UAACCCUCAAGCCUAGCUUGGUGUUGGAGCAUGCUACCUAAGCAGCUCUUAAAAUCAGUGGCAGUGCCCUUCGGCUCUAAGCGUAGUAACUUCUCUCGCUAUGGAACCCGGAGGGUACGCGCCAGAACCCCCAACUUUCUAU
RNAcentral lists this unclassified non-coding RNA (142 nucleotides) under uncultured Cistella. RNAcentral describes it as "partial internal transcribed spacer 2". The record is from RNAcentral. Lineage: Eukaryota; Fungi; Ascomycota; Leotiomycetes; Helotiales; Hyaloscyphaceae.